This 253-nucleotide ribosomal RNA is filed under the name uncultured bacterium. RNAcentral's name for it is "partial 16S ribosomal RNA". It matches the Rfam family "Bacterial small subunit ribosomal RNA", at positions 524 to 776 of the family's 1533-position model. The record is from RNAcentral.
UACGGAGGGUGCAAGCGUUAUCCGGAUUCACUGGGUUUAAAGGGUGCGUAGGCGGUCGGGUAAGUCUGAUGUGAAAUCUCACAGCUUAACUGUGAAACUGCAUUGGAUACUAUCCGGCUAGAGGAAUGGAGGGGAGACUGGAAUACUUGGUGUAGCAGUGAAAUGCGUAGAUAUCAAGUGGAACACCAGUGGCGAAGGCGAGUCUCUGGACAUUUCCUGACGCUGAGGCACGAAAGCCAGGGGAGCAAACGGG